Molecule: long non-coding RNA, 3118 nt
Filed under: Phocoena sinus (vaquita)
Lineage: Eukaryota; Metazoa; Chordata; Mammalia; Artiodactyla; Phocoenidae
Description: lncRNA (ENSPSNG00000010213.1)
Source: RNAcentral
GGAUGUCUGUGAGGGCCGCCAGGCUCCGUGUGAUGCACAAAGUCUCCCUCAGGGCUGAUCCCGUCGCUCCAGACACCCUGGCAAAGUGCAGAGACCCCGCCACACACAGGAUUUACAUGAAUUCAGGGCGACAUCAAGAUGAAUAAGAAAAGCAAAACGGAGGCUUCUCGGGAAGAGCAGGUGGAGGAGACCCUGCGUCCCCUUGAGGUGCCCCUCUGACAACCACGCAGCACCAGCAGGGGAAGCUUUUAGGGGAACCGGGCUCCUCGCCCUGCAGGUCGCCUGUGGGGAGCAGUGUUUGGAUUGACACGCAGGGUCUCGGUGCUGAGACGGCACCAGGAGGAUGGAGCUGGGAUUUAGAGGGCAUCUGGGAGGGGACAGCGGGCCUGGGACCCCCGUCCACUCACGGUCAGGAGCCCUCGUCCCCAGGCCACCCAGGGGAAGGCUCCCCGCUCUCACCCACACGCUCGCUGCCCGCCAGGCACACACAAGCUCCCUGUGGCCGGCUGGGCCCAGGGACCCCCGCCCGAGUCCUUGGGUCCUCGGCGACACAGAAGCGGUUCUGCGGGAUGUGCUCGGCCUCCUCCCGGUGGCCGGCAACCAGGGCGCAGGGCAGAGGAGUUCCGUGGGCAGUGACCAACUUGACCGUGGGUCUGCUGCCGGGGAGUGACAAGUGACAGGAGACGGUCCCCAAGCUCCCCUCAGCCUGCCACCCGCUGAGGCCCCUUCAGCUCCGUCCCAGAGGCCAACACCUCGCACAGAGCGAGACCCUGGUUGGCUUCAUCCCUUCCUCUUAAAGGCUGACAGGAAAGGGGCCCAGUGACCCUGAGGGGAUCCUCUGGGUAAAAUAGGAAAGAACAGGCAGGAGAGAGCAUUUUUCACUGUUGAAAGCUGAACUAAUGCCUAAGGAGUUCCAAGAAAAUGAGCUAAGGUUUGUUAGAAAAGACUUGGUAAUGACAUUAAUUAAAAUCCCAGCCGAAAAAUCUAUUACCUUAUAGAAACAAAUUCUACAAUUUCUGUUUUAAUAAUACACAAAAAAACACAAAACUUCUGAGAAAGUCUUCUUCAUGUUGAUGUACAUAUCAGUUUCAUCGUGUGUUAUUCCUAAACAGACUUUUUAAAAAAGAUUUUUUAAACAAACCCUGAAUAGUGUAUCCCUAUGUAGAAAGCAAAGAAAACACACUUACGUUUAGAAAGAACAUGAAAGCGACUCUGGGCCCACUGCCUGGGGGCGCCCAGCCUUUUCGUCUGUGGACCAGACUUGUGGGCACCAACAGCCAGGGCUCCCUCGGCGGCACUGUCCGCCCGGCGCUCCUUGGGGGCAAGGUCGGUCCUAGGACUGGUUAGUGCGGGUCCAGCUGGUGGGCAGUUAGUAAUCCGGGCAUCGCCUUCCCCUCUCUGCCCCCUUGCCUGGGCCGUGAGUUUCAAGUGACCUCGAGACAAGAUGGGUCAGGAACGUAGCCCACACUGGCCUGAGACUGGGGUGAGGAUGCCCUUUCUAGGGUGAACCCCCUGGGCCCGGGGCUUCUUUGUUACCGAGUGUAGGCCCUAGACCAGUAGCUCUCCACGGCGGCUCUGGGUCCGUGAGCUUGGAGAAAUGCACAUCCCUCGGCCUCGCCCCAGCCCUGGGGCUGCGAUCACGGUGUGGGGUGAGGAGGUGUCUGUGUUUCCAGAAACCCCGCAGGUGACCCCAUGUGCGCUCCGCUAGACUUACUGACCAACGAUGACCUACAGACCCUGGCGACACGUGCAUGAUUUCCUUACACAACUGGAAUCAUUUGAUAUACUGGUGUGUAACUUUCUAAGCCCAAAUCACAAUUACAGCGUCAUUCAUGCUGAAUGCAUCACAUUCCAAGGUAAAAAUAUGCCAUUUCCUUCUUAUUUAACAAAGCGCCCUCCUUCCUCCCGCCCCACACCCCCUUUCUUCUCAGCCUGGGGUCCCUGUGGCUCUUGGGUUUGGGUUCCAGACCCUCCGAAUAUGUGGCUGCAGUUCCUCCCCAGGGCUCUGUGCGAUGCCCAGAGCCUGCAGGUGCGCGGAUUCUGUCCUUCGCACGUGGCUUUCUAUUACAGGCAACUGACCGGGCGCAGACGGCCGCUCGCCGCUGCUGCGGGGGAAGCGGCUGUGGUAGAGGCACCGCGGUCAGCAGGUGAGAUCUGGAGAAGUCGGCAGGCGCUGCGGUGGCCGCCUGCGCGGCCGAGCCGCGGACCCCGCCACGAGCGUCACGAGCCCCACCGCACUGCGGGCGGACCCCGAGGGUGCCCAGAGCACACGAACGUCCCCGAGGGACCGGGGAGGCCCGCCUGCACGUCAACCUCGAACUCUCCGCACAGAGACCUCGCAUACAAGCUAAGCGUACCCAGCUCAAGAAAGCAGCACAUCGUAGACAAAAUUAAACAUCAUAAAUCAGAUUUUUACUGUUACGAGGCCUAACUGCCUCACUGUGCCUCUAACUGCUCCGCCCUGAAAUAAUCAGCUGGUUUGCCACCAAAUGGAGGUUCCCAGCCUUUUCAACAUCCAGCGUUCUUUUAGGUACGGCACCCUCAAGAGCCUCAAGACUUUAAAAUACUUUGUGUAUCAAAUCAAACUUAUGAAAGAAAAUUUUCAUUUACUUUCCUAUCUAAUUCAUGAGAUAUGACAGCUAAGUGGAACUUCUGAGCUGCAGGAGACAAUAUUUUGAUCAUGUUGUUAUUAAUCAAAAGCUGACAGUUCUGGAUAACUUGUGUAAACUUACCGUGAUUUCCUUUAGGCUUUUUCAAGUGUUAGAAAUAGCUUGCAGACCCUUCCCUCGGUAACUUCGAGACCACAGGACGCGGGCAACAUGACCCUGACCCUUUAUCCCUUCUCCUCCCUGUGGGUUCAGUCAGGUGACCCCCCUCUUGGAGCGAAGCUGAUUCAUGAACAUGGGUUUAAGAAUGCAGAGCUCUGGGGCUUCCCUGGUGGCGCAGUGGUUGAGAGUCCGCCUGCCGAUGCAGGGGACGCGGGUUCGUGCCCCGGUCCGGGAAGAUCCCACAUGCCGCGGAGCGGCCGGGCCCGUGAGCCGUGGCCGCUGAGCCUGUGCGUCCGGAGCCUGUGCUCCGCGACGGGAGAGGCCACGACAGUGAGAGGCCCGCGUACCGC